Molecule: ribosomal RNA, 701 nt
Filed under: Streptococcus sp. HFH0042
Lineage: Bacteria; Bacillati; Bacillota; Bacilli; Lactobacillales; Streptococcaceae
Description: bacterial SSU rRNA
Rfam family: Bacterial small subunit ribosomal RNA
Source: RNAcentral
GGAGCUUGCUCUUCUUGGAUGAGUUGCGAACGGGUGAGUAACGCGUAGGUAACCUGCCUUGUAGCGGGGGAUAACUAUUGGAAACGAUAGCUAAUACCGCAUAACAAUGGGUGACACAUGUCAUUUAUUUGAAAGGGGCAAUUGCUCCACUACAAGAUGGACCUGCGUUGUAUUAGCUAGUAGGUGAGGUAACGGCUCACCUAGGCGACGAUACAUAGCCGACCUGAGAGGGUGAUCGGCCACACUGGGACUGAGACACGGCCCAGACUCCUACGGGAGGCAGCAGUAGGGAAUCUUCGGCAAUGGGGGCAACCCUGACCGAGCAACGCCGCGUGAGUGAAGAAGGUUUUCGGAUCGUAAAGCUCUGUUGUAAGUCAAGAACGAGUGUGAGAGUGGAAAGUUCACACUGUGACGGUAGCUUACCAGAAAGGGACGGCUAACUACGUGCCAGCAGCCGCGGUAAUACGUAGGUCCCGAGCGUUGUCCGGAUUUAUUGGGCGUAAAGCGAGCGCAGGCGGUUUGAUAAGUCUGAAGUUAAAGGCUGUGGCUCAACCAUAGUUCGCUUUGGAAACUGUCAAACUUGAGUGCAGAAGGGGAGAGUGGAAUUCCAUGUGUAGCGGUGAAAUGCGUAGAUAUAUGGAGGAACACCGGUGGCGAAAGCGGCUCUCUGGUCUGUAACUGACGCUGAAGCUCGAAAGCGU